RNAcentral lists this long non-coding RNA (1534 nucleotides) under Octopus vulgaris (common octopus). The record is from RNAcentral. Lineage: Eukaryota; Metazoa; Mollusca; Cephalopoda; Octopoda; Octopodidae.
UAUAUAUAUGUGUGUGUAUGUAUAUGUAUGUAUAUAUAAAUUUCUCUAUCUAUCUGUUUUCUCUCCUAAUUUAUUUUUUUGUAUUUUGUUUUUUUUUUGUUUUUUUUUUUUGUUUCCAAUGGUUUCCUGGUGGAGAAAGGGUCAGUACCUAUGACCUUUUGCCUAACCUCUAAGACCAGGGGUGUGUGGGGAGGGGAGGGCAGGAGAAAGUGGAUGACGAAGCCAUGCCGCUCGGAUUUUCCUCAGACGGGAGACAAACCCCGAAACCAAGAACAGACACUAGUUAACAAAAAAAAAAAAAAAACCCCGGAGCGAGGGUUCCAGCUUAUAUAUCAGUGGUGGUGGUCCUGGUGGUGAUGUUGAAACCCUCACCCCCCCCACCACCGCCACCCACCCUCUCACUAUUGCUUUGAUAUUCACCUCUGAAGAGAACCUUGCAAAACAGACUGAUCGCCAAGACAUUUUGCUCAAUAUGGGAUUGCCUAUUGCCUUUUCUAUCCGUAUACGUUGCUAUCUCUGUACCGUCACAUGUAUAACCUGUACAUGUUGCUAUUUAAACACUAUCGUCUGUCUGUAAGUCGUACAUGUUGCUAUCUACACAUUGUUGUUUGUGCAUAAUCAGUAUUUUGUUGCUAUCUACACACUCCGAUGUGUUUAUAAUUUACGUUUAUUUCUAUCUACACACUGCUGUCAUUUGUGUGGAGGUUAUAUAUAUAUAUAUAUAUAUAUAUAUAUAUAUACAUUGCUAUCUACACACAGCUGUCAUUUGUGUGGAGGUUAUAUAUAUAUAUAUAUAUAUAUAUAUAUAUAUAUAUAUACACUGCUAUCUACACACUGCUGUCAUUUGUGUGGAGGUUAUAUAUAUAUAUACACUGCUAUCUACACACAGCUGUCAUUUGUAUGGAGGUUAUAUAUAUAUAUAUAUAUAUAUACACUGCUAUCUACACACAGCUGUCAUUUGUGUGGAGGUUAUAUAUAUAUAUAUAUAUAUAUAUAUAUAUAUAUACACUGCUAUCUACACACAGCUGUCAUUUGUGUAGAGGUUAUAUAUAUAUAUAUAUAUACACUGCUAUCUACACACAGCUGUCUGCGUAAAAUCCAUGUUUGUUGCUAUUUAUCUACUGUCAUUUGUGUGCAGGUUAUAUAUAUAUAUAUAUAUAUAUAUAUAUAUAUACACUGCUAUCUACAACAAUGUGUAAAGGUUUAUAUUUAUUUAUGUUUGUGUGUUUGUUUUUGAUUUUAUUUAUUUUGUGGAGGUUAUAUAUAUAUAUAUAUAUUUACACUGCUAUCUACACACUGCUGUCAUUUGUGUGGAUGUUAUAUAUAUAUAUAUAUAUAUAUAUAUAUAUAUAUAUAUAUAUAUAUAUAUACACUGCUAUCUACACACAGCUGUCAUUUGUGUGGAGGUUAUAUAUAUAUAUAUAUAUAUACACUGCUAUCUACACACAGCUGUCUGCGUAAAAUCCAUGUUUGUUGCUAUUUAUCUACUGUCAUUUGUGUAUAAGAUUUUUCUUUUUUUUUAUUGUUGCUAACU